RNAcentral lists this ribosomal RNA (784 nucleotides) under uncultured bacterium. RNAcentral describes it as "bacterial SSU rRNA". It matches the Rfam family "Bacterial small subunit ribosomal RNA", at positions 8 to 796 of the family's 1533-position model. The record is from RNAcentral.
AGAGUUUGAUCCUGGCUCAGAACGAACGCUGGCGGCGUGCUUAACACAUGCAAGUCGCGUGCGCAGUUGCCGUAGCAAUCGGUGAUGGGCGCACGGCGCACGGGUGCGUAACACGUGGGCAAUCUGCCCUUGAUGGGGAAUANNCCNNCGAAAGGCGGGCUAAUUCCGCAUAAGAUUCCCGGGACUUCGGUUCCGGAUUGAAAGCAGCAAUGCGUCGAAGGAGGAGCCCGCGCCCGAUUAGCUAGUUGGUGAGGUAACGGCUCACCAAGGCUAUGAUCGUAGCUGGUCUGAGAGGAUGAUCAGCCACACUGGANNUGAGACACGGUCCAGACUCCUCGGGAGGCAGCAGUGGGGAAUCUUGCACAAUGGGCGAAAGCUGAUGCAGCGACGCCGCGUGGGGGAUGAAGCAUUUCGGUGUGUAAACCCCUUUCGACUGGGACGAAUCCUCGCAAGAGGAGUGACGGUACCAGUAGAAGAAGCCCCGGCUAACUACGUGCCAGCAGCCGCGGUAAGACGUAGGGGGCCAGCGUUGUUCGGAAUUACUGGGUGUAAAGGGUUCGUAGGCGGUGCGGCAAGUUGGGAGUGAAAUCUUUGGGCUUAACCCAGAGGCUGCUUCCAAAACUGCUGUGCUCGAGUGUGAGAGAGGCGCGUGGAAUUGCAGGUGUAGCGGUGAAAUGCGUAGAUAUCUGCAGGAACACCCGUGGCGAAAGCGGCCGCUGGAUCACUACUGACGCUGAGGAACGAAAGCUAGGGGAGCAAACAGGAUUAGAUACCCUAGUAGUCC